UGCUCUAUUGAAAAAUAGAUCUAAAACUGUUAGGGCUUUGAAGUAAUUCCUGUAAAAACAUUUGAGGAUUACAGAUUUCAUUUUCUCAUACUUUCCUCCUAACCAAACAAUCCUAAAACCCAAAACCCUGAUUCACAUUUCAAGACAAUCAGACAUUAAAAAGAAAAAAAAAAAAGGAAUAGAAAAACAACAAAAGAAUAGAGGGUUACUUUUGAUCCGAUCAACGAUGAAUCCUUUCUCCUCUCUUUCUCCCGGUUCUCCUUUCUAGCUCUCUGUUUUCCUCUCUGUGUCUCAGGUACCAGCUCCUCCCUCUCUUCCGGUUCUCCUAGUUUACCUUUUUCCUCCCAGAGUCUCCCAACGGCCAGGAAAACCCACUACUCCCAUCACCUGCUGGUUACUCUUGCUUUUCAGCUCACUAACCCGCCUAAAAGAAGAAGCAAUCCCUCUUCGAAACGUGACAACUGCAGGGAAUAUCUGCCGCCCUUAACAAACCCAAUAUCCCCCUUUUGCCAGGUGUCCUCAUCUGGACCUAGGAGAAUAUCCUCUCCAUAGCUCCUAACAGCCCCACCUAGACAAUUGUGUUUUGUACUUGAACCC
This 597-nucleotide long non-coding RNA is filed under the name Vitis vinifera (wine grape). Its description in RNAcentral is "long non-coding RNA (VVIN_LNC000376)". Lineage: Eukaryota; Viridiplantae; Streptophyta; Magnoliopsida; Vitales; Vitaceae. The record is from RNAcentral.